RNAcentral lists this ribosomal RNA (772 nucleotides) under Microbacteriaceae bacterium. Its description in RNAcentral is "bacterial SSU rRNA". It matches the Rfam family "Bacterial small subunit ribosomal RNA", at positions 43 to 824 of the family's 1533-position model. Lineage: Bacteria; Bacillati; Actinomycetota; Actinomycetes; Micrococcales; Microbacteriaceae. The record is from RNAcentral.
CGUGCUUAACACAUGCAAGUCGAACGAUGAAAGAGGGAGCUUGCUUCUUCUGGAUUAGUGGCGAACGGGUGAGUAACACGUGAGCAAUCUGCCCUUGACUCUGGGAUAAGCGUUGGAAACGACGUCUAAUACCGGAUACGACCCUCGGAGGCAUCUCCUGGGGGUGGAAAGAAUUUUGGUCAAGGAUGAGCUCGCGGCCUAUCAGCUAGUUGGUGAGGUAAUGGCUCACCAAGGCGACGACGGGUAGCCGGCCUGAGAGGGUGACCGGCCACACUGGGACUGAGACACGGCCCAGACUCCUACGGGAGGCAGCAGUGGGGAAUAUUGCACAAUGGGCGAAAGCCUGAUGCAGCAACGCCGCGUGAGGGAUGACGGCCUUCGGGUUGUAAACCUCUUUUAGUAGGGAAGAAGCGAAAGUGACGGUACCUGCAGAAAAAGCACCGGCUAACUACGUGCCAGCAGCCGCGGUAAUACGUAGGGUGCAAGCGUUGUCCGGAAUUAUUGGGCGUAAAGAGCUCGUAGGCGGUUUGUCGCGUCUGCUGUGAAAUCUGGGGGCUCAACCCCCAGCCUGCAGUGGGUACGGGCAGACUAGAGUGCGGUAGGGGAGAUUGGAAUUCCUGGUGUAGCGGUGGAAUGCGCAGAUAUCAGGAGGAACACCGAUGGCGAAGGCAGAUCUCUGGGCCGUAACUGACGCUGAGGAGCGAAAGCAUGGGGAGCGAACAGGAUUAGAUACCCUGGUAGUCCAUGCCGUAAACGUUGGGAACUAGAUGUG